CUUGUGCCAGCAGCCGCGGUAAUACAGAGGGUGCAAGCGUUAAUCGGAAUUACUGGGCGUAAAGCGCGCGUAGGUGGUUCGUUAAGUUGGAUGUGAAAUCCCCGGGCUCAACCUGGGAACUGCAUUCAAAACUGACGAGCUAGAGUAUGGUAGAGGGUGGUGGAAUUUCCUGUGUAGCGGUGAAAUGCGUAGAUAUAGGAAGGAACACCAGUGGCGAAGGCGACCACCUGGACUGAUACUGACACUGAGGUGCGAAAGCGUGGGGAGCAAACAGGAUUAGA
This 281-nucleotide ribosomal RNA is filed under the name uncultured Pseudomonadales bacterium. RNAcentral describes it as "partial 16S ribosomal RNA". It matches the Rfam family "Bacterial small subunit ribosomal RNA", at positions 502 to 782 of the family's 1533-position model. The record is from RNAcentral. Lineage: Bacteria; Pseudomonadati; Pseudomonadota; Gammaproteobacteria; Pseudomonadales.